CAUCAAAGUCUGGAGCACAAGCACCUGUGAAUUUGUUCGUACUCUCAAUGGGCACAAGCGAGGCAUUGCCUGUCUGCAGUACAGGGAUCGGCUGGUUGUUAGUGGAUCAUCAGAUAAUACCAUUAGGCUCUGGGAUAUUGAAUGUGGUGCCUGUUUAAGAGUCCUAGAGGGACAUGAAGAAUUGGUCCGAUGCAUCCGGUUUGAUAACAAGAGGAUUGUCAGUGGGGCCUAUGAUGGGAAAAUUAAAGUUUGGGACUUGCAAGCUGCUCUUGACCCUCGAGCCCCAGCAAGCACGUUGUGUUUGCGCACAUUGGUGGAACAUUCUGGACGUGUGUUUCGGCUCCAGUUUGAUGAGUUUCAGAUCAUCAGCAGCUCCCAUGAUGACACUAUUUUGAUUUGGGAUUUCUUAAAUGUGCCUCCCAGUGCCCAGAAUGAGACCCGUUCUCCCUCCAGAACAUACACUUACAUCUCUAGAUAACAGUCUGCACUUUCACCCGUUUCAGGAACACUGAAAGUCAUUAUAACCAUUUAUGACAGAAUGUUUUGAUUAUUACUAAGGGUAUUCAGUCUGGAAGAUGAGAAGUCUUACUUGGCUGUGUCCUAGGAACUGAUGACUUAGGAACAGUAUUGACAACUCUGUGUGUUCUGCUGAGGGCCAGUGAAUUCUAUACACAUUAAACUUUGUAGAUUGAAUAAAUGUUUACACAUAAACAUA
RNAcentral lists this small RNA (715 nucleotides) under Pongo abelii (Sumatran orangutan). RNAcentral's name for it is "processed transcript". Lineage: Eukaryota; Metazoa; Chordata; Mammalia; Primates; Hominidae. The record is from RNAcentral.